AAAAAUAAAAAAAUAAAAAAAAAAAAAAACUCUGGAAUUACCUCACUCAUGAGAACUAUAACCGUUAACACCCAUUUCCACUAUAGCUAACCUCUCCUUAGCCACAUUCUCCUCUUCUCUAAUCUCAUCCUCAUCAGAAUCCAAAGUGAAGUGUCCGUUGUUCUCCAUCUGCUGCAUCUCUGUCCUAAGAGGCUUGUACUGCAUAAAAUUUCUAUCAUCCCCAUUCUUUCUAGCCAUAAUGGAGUACACACUCGUCACCAAAACCACAAGCAAAGCAAGAUGGCAAUUGAACUGAAGUGUAGCGAUCCCUCUGGCCCUAUGAUACUCGGAGUGCCCUUUACAUUUUAUAGUGUAAUCCCCUCUGCUCUUUUUAUGCAAAGAGCAACCAUGAACGAUCAUAUUACUGUAAAAAGAAAUACCCAUUUGCACAAACCACAUGCCUUGCAAAAUCAACCCAACCCCACGGACCAUUCUUGCAUAAUUAUUCGAUUUCGAGGAAGACUUUAACUCCAGAAUGGUAGAAACCACACAAAUCGUGAUUGGAACAAGCAAUAGAUCAAAAUACCUGUUCUCAAUCCCACUUGUGUCCUUCCUUUGCAGAUAAUACAACAAGAACUCUUCCACAAACGCGAACAGAAGGAUCAAAUCAAGAAGCGGCAAAGGGAAACGAACAGAAGUUGAAAAAUUCGAUACCAGACCUAAAAUUGAGUACAGGGAAAAGAGUGCGGCAACAGCAAGAACUUGCAACUGAAGGGCGGAGCCAAUUCCAUCUUGUGAAUUGGCGGCAUUGAAAAGUGAGAUUAGAGAAUCAAUAAUGAAUAGAAAAGAGAAGACAGUGAUGGCUAUGUAAAUAAACGAAGAAGAUUGAUAUUUCGGGUCUGUGUUCUUUUGGGUCGUAGAUUUUGAUAUUCGAUCAAUCCCAGAAGACGAAAUUGAAUUUGGCUUUGAGUCUAGGCUCAAAUCUGCAAAGGAGGUGAGAGAUUCCCAUGC
This 990-nucleotide unclassified non-coding RNA is filed under the name Hevea brasiliensis (rubber tree). The record is from RNAcentral. Lineage: Eukaryota; Viridiplantae; Streptophyta; Magnoliopsida; Malpighiales; Euphorbiaceae.